Passer domesticus (house sparrow) is the source of this 2714-nucleotide long non-coding RNA. RefSeq lists it as uncharacterized. The transcript is spliced from 3 exons. Lineage: Eukaryota; Metazoa; Chordata; Aves; Passeriformes; Passeridae. The record is from RefSeq and is a predicted model, not a curated record.
GAACCAUGGAGACCAUUAAGAUCCUUAAGAACUUGUGUAACCAAGGGGCCAUUAUGAUGCAACAGGACAUCAUGGAAGCAAGAGAACCACUGUGAUGUUGCAAGACUUCAUGGAAGCAUAGAGCCAUGUGACACUGCAGGGCCCUAUGGAACCAAGAGAACACAAAAUAGGUCUGGAUGUCUUGCCCUCCCAGGAGUCACCUGACAGGUAUCCAUGGCCAAAAUUAGGAUCCACCUUCGAAUUUCUGUGUAUCCAAGGAUUGCUGCCAGACAUAAGCUGCCAGAGGAGACAGAUCUGGAUGGUCUUUAAUUCCUGAGUGCCAGCACUGACCUGUUUUCCAAACACUGGAAAGGGCUCUAUGUUUUUCUUUCUGUGGAAAAAAUCCUCCUUCUCCAGGCACAAAUGUCUGAAAUUAGGAUUCCACAUUCAUAAUUUUGAAUAUCCAAGGGUUGCUCCCAGACAAACCUGCCAGGACAAACAGGUCAGGCUUGCCUUAGCCUCUGGUGGCUGCCAUUCAUCAGCUCCUGAAACAUGGGGGUUCUGUGGUUUCCUUCUUAUGAAGACCAGUGUGACACUUGGUGGCCUUGUGAAAUGCAGGGGCAUUGUGACACUGUGGAGCCUCAUGGAACCAAGGACAUCACUGUGGCUCUGUUGGGCCCCACGGUCCCAAGGGGCCAGUGCAAAGCAGCAGUGUGGGAGUUAGCCCGGCUGUAACUCGGAGUCAGCCAGAUUUUACUCCAAAAGAACCCAGCGUGAGGUUCAAGCCCUGGGAAUCAUUUGUUUAACUUAGGAUGAGAUUGGGAGUUCUCCCAUAAGCCUUUAGUGUUGUUAAGUUCAGUUGUCCAAGUUCUGCUUCCCUACUGGUUACUUGUUUCCCCUAUAUGAGUAUUGUUCUAGUUCUCUAGCCCCAAGUGUAUAUGUUGUUGCUUUCCCUUUAUCUCAGGUCUUUGGAUCCUGCCCUUCAUGCUGUGCUCAACUUCUCCAUGUUUAUUGUUUUUCACCCCAUAAUUGAAGUUCUUUUGGGGCAAUUCCAUUGAACCCACUCCUUUUCAUUUUUGCCAACUUCACUCUUGAGUCAGGGAACCAGAGAGGUUUGUUGCAGCCACCCUCACUGUGACAUCUGGCCCCUGAGCAGGGACCCUGACAUUCAGUUACAUCAGCUGGGGUUAGCUGACAGAUAGGCCAGUGCUCCCCGGGAUUGUGGAUUGUGGGCCCAGUGGAUUUCCCAUCACUUUGAGGGACCUGAGCCAGCAUUGGUGGGGACGAUGACGGUUUCUUCCUGUGGAGGAUUUCAGGUGGGUUUGGGAAAAUGCAGGAUAUUUAUCGCCUAUUUUGUCACCGUCUUUUUCAAAUACGGAUCCACAUCCCGUAAUUGAUUUGGGGCAUUCCGGUGGCUGUUCCCCCCAAAGUGGAGAAGGAGAAAAAUGGGUGGUCAGUUGUCCAAAGUAGAAAGGAGCUUGUAUGGACACUUUAAGUUAAUUCUCACUGAUCAUGACAAAAUAUUUUCAAAGAACAAAUUAAAAUCAAUCGUGAGGUGGAUCAUUCAAAAUUUUCCAGACACUUAUGCUGACGAUAUCCAUACUACUGAAUUUUGUGACUCUGUGGGAUUUAAAUUGUAGAACCUUUCGAUCAAAAGGGACCCCGUUGCACCCGCAUGCGCCCCUUCUUCUACACCAUCCUUGAGACCCUUCACCAGCAAGCUCUGAGUCGAAAACUUGAUCCAUCAGUCACUCCUAACCCGGGACCUCCCCCGAAACCUGCCUUUCUUGGACUUUCCAUGAUGGUCCAAGAUGGCAAUGGCCACGCUGUCUUGGAGCAUUGUGCCCUGGAGACCCAAGAUGGAAGAAGUCCGAAUGUGGCUCGGGAGCCUGGCCAUCCUCCCUCCAUCUUGGCUCCUCCACCUCCUGCUACCACAACCUUCUCUUCCACUCUGAAUGAACCUCCAGACUCCACCCCUGUAACUGCAGGUCACACCUCCACUGUCAUUCAUUCCACCUCCACCCUGGGCCACAGCUCCCGAAAAUGACAAAAUGGCAGCACCCUUUACUCACCCUUCGGCAACAACAUAAACCCCAUGGUCAAGGAUACUAAGCCAAACUGUCACACUAUUUCUAAUCCAAGUGUUUCUGCUCCAAGUUAUUCUUCCUCCCCAGAAGACACUUUGGAUUCCCCAGAGCCACCUCUCCCCUCAAGGCUAGAAGAUCCCUGGGAAAGGAUCUGGAAGGAAGCAGUUAAGGAAGGAGACUGGCAAAUAGUCUUGAAACUCCUCAUUGCCCCAGGACAUGAUGAAAGAAGGGAGCAGAAUCCCAGGAGGAAACCUUCCUGAUGAACAGCACUAGAGCAGAGGGAAAUCAAGACAGAGCCAUGGUUUGUCAGGACUUGCUUGAUGCUAACAAGCCCCGUGGUGCAUUUGGAGCUGAGCCCUGGAACGUCAGGACCUGAGAGGAGAUUGUACAAACCUGUCCAGGAGUCAAAGUCAGAAGAAAACCCCAGGUAUGUCAAGUCAUGAAUGGGUCCUACUAAUCCCCAACACAGGCUGAUCAUGGACUUAUUGGAGAAGAGAACUGGAAGCCAGGAUGGCACACAAACUUCUCAAAGACUCAGUGUGAAAAGGAAAAUUCAAAGUACUUUAAAAACCUUGAGUAUCUCAAAGUAUUAAUGAGCCCCACUGAGUGUCAGUACAAAGCUCUCAAGGGACUCAUUAAAGCAGAUAA